RNAcentral lists this ribosomal RNA (253 nucleotides) under uncultured bacterium. Its description in RNAcentral is "partial 16S ribosomal RNA". It matches the Rfam family "Bacterial small subunit ribosomal RNA", at positions 524 to 776 of the family's 1533-position model. The record is from RNAcentral.
UACGGAGGGGGCUAGCGUUGUUCGGAAUUACUGGGCGUAAAGCGCACGUAGGCGGCUUUGCAAGUUAGAGGUGAAAGCCCGGGGCUCAACUCCGGAAUUGCCUUUAAAACUGCAUCGCUAGAAUUGUGGAGAGGUAAGUGGAAUUCCGAGUGUAGAGGUGAAAUGCGCAGAUAUCAGGAAGAACACCUAUGGCGAAGGCAGCUCUCUGGGACGGUACUGACGCUGAGACGCGAAAGCGUGGGGAGCGAACAGG